Long non-coding RNA from Megalobrama amblycephala (Wuchang bream), 455 nucleotides. RefSeq lists it as uncharacterized. Lineage: Eukaryota; Metazoa; Chordata; Actinopteri; Cypriniformes; Xenocyprididae. The transcript has 3 exons. The record is from RefSeq and is a predicted model, not a curated record.
AUAGCAACAGUAACUAAUGCAGUUUUUCAAAUAAAAGGAAACUGACAAGAUGUGGGAGAUGUUAACAAAGGUAGGCCUAUCAAAACAAAAUUAUAUAUGGGCACUGUGGCUGCCCUAUAUGCGUGGACUGAAGCCCGACCUCGCUCUGAAAGAGAAGGCCCUGUCUCAACAACAAUGGGCGAGGUGGGCUCCAUAUUUUAUUGAUAUGGAGAGAUUGGAAGUGGAACGAAUAUGGAGGCAGCUGGGUUUUUACGAAAGAGCAGGACAUCGUUUUAUAUCAUCAAAAUGACGAUUCAUUUGAAUGAAGUGGAUUUUUCAAGACUUGUGGACAGAAGACCCCAUUAUUCUUACCUUUUUGUUUUUACUUCUAAUUAAUAAUAAUAAUAAUUAUUAUUAAUUAGAAGUAAAUAAAAUUAAAUUUCCAAUUCAAACACUAAUUAAAAAUGUUAAAUGGA